UGCCAAAACAUUACCCUCUCUCUCUCCCCCUCUCGCUCUGAUCUAUGGCGGCCUCGUCUUCGUCGGCAUCACCCUACACUUCCGAUUCAUCGUCUUCCUCUUCUCGUCGUCGCCGUCGCCGUAGAACUCGCCGUGAAAAAGAUCGGGACGCUCUUAGGAUUCGCAAGAAGUCUCGCUCUCAUUCUAAGCGUCGUCGCAGGCACCGCCGCUCCUCCUCCAAUUCUUUAUCUUCCUCCGACUCCGAAUCCGAUUACUCCCGAAGCCAUAGCUCUUCUCAAAGCGAGCCUGAAAUGUCAGGCCGUUCAAAGCGGCAUAAGAAGAAUGAUGGAACGAAGAAGGAGAGGGAGCGAAGUAAGAGUCGUCACCAUAAAAGGCGUAAGCAUAAAGCUAAAGAGUUGGGGUCUGUGGCAUGAUGAUCGGGCUGUUGAUUGAUUUGCCUGCUGGUUUGUUGUGCGGAUUUGUCCUGGCAAUCGGAGUCGAUUUAUAGAAACAGCCAGAAGAGAGAAGUAGCAGCCCUGUGCAGCUGUCUAAGUUUUUAGCGCGGGAGGAUGAUGGUACUCGACGGAGUGCUGUCUCUGGCAAAAAGAUAUUGUUGAAACUUGAUAAAUCAAAGGAAGACAAAGCUGAGGAAAACAAAAGAAAUGAAUUGCUGAAGUUCUUGAACUCUAGCUUUGACUAAUGGGUUGGGUAUCCUUGAAAUGAAGGAAAGAGGCAAAUGAUAGAAGAAUGGAAUAUUAGCUGCUGCUGCUGCUGCAAGAAAAAAUCAGUACAACCAAUAGCUGUGUUGAAUAAGUUGUAGAGACAUUCAAGCUUGUGAGCUUUCUUCUUCCCUUGAUUGAUGUUUUGACGCAUAUGGAUUGAGAUCUAUUUUAAUUAUGAAAAGGAAUUGAAAUU
Cucurbita pepo subsp. pepo (vegetable marrow) is the source of this 894-nucleotide non-coding RNA. NCBI's taxonomy places the organism in Eukaryota, Viridiplantae, Streptophyta, Magnoliopsida, Cucurbitales, Cucurbitaceae. The record is from RefSeq and is a predicted model, not a curated record.